UCCGGUUUGACACCGGCAGUCUCGCAUGAGUCCCCAACUAAAUGCUGGCAACAUGCGACGGGGGUUGCGCUCGUUGCGGGACUUAACCCAACAUCUCACGACACGAGCUGACGACUGCCAUGCACCACCUGUGAUCGUGCCCCGAACUGACCCCGUGUUUCCACGGGUAUGAUCCACAUGUCAAGCCCAGGUAAGGUUCUUCGCGUUGCGUCGAAUUAAACCACAUGCUCCGCUGCUUGUGCGGGCCCCCGUCAAUUCCUUUGAGUUUUAGCCUUGCGGCCGUACUCCCCAGGCGGGGCGCUUAAUGCGUUAGCUACGGCACGGAUCCCGUGGAAGGAAACCCACACCUAGCGCCCACCGUUUACGGCGUGGACUAC
Molecule: unclassified non-coding RNA, 377 nt
Filed under: uncultured Actinomycetes bacterium
Lineage: Bacteria; Bacillati; Actinomycetota; Actinomycetes
Description: uncultured actinobacterium contains 16S-23S intergenic spacer region
Source: RNAcentral